GGGGGGGGACAUGAAAAAAUUGCUUUCACGAGAGCUAGCAUAAACUGCUAAAUACCGAAUUCUCUUAUCACAUUCACAAACAGAAAUUCGAAGUCAUUUUAGAAUGAUCUAAACAGCAUUACAUGUUCUAACACGAAAUAUCUAUUCACAGACAAAUAAUGUCCAAAGUUCAAGAGAACUUGAUGCUCAAAAUAAGUUAUAAAACAGCUCGACAGGGAAUCGAACUAGCAACCUUUUGAAUACAAUACGACUUCUCUACCUCCUGCACUACUGUCACUCCAUAGUACAAUACUAGCAUAGUUCAUCCACGGCAGAAAAAGAUGACAUUAAUUUAACUUAAGAUAAUUUAACAAAUCUGGAGAGGCACUGAGAUGUAGACCUACGUUUAUUAACUAGCAUGAACCUGCCCUGACAGGACAGUGUCCUAGACUGUCUGACUAGCUAUCUUAACUGUGUUAAUUACCGGCAUGCGUGUGUUAUCGGCAAACGUUCACGUUGUCAUGCCAAUCCAUUAAUAAACUUAUGUAUACUUGUGCAUAUCGGAUUGGAACUUCGUAAAUGGAGUUUAGAAAAAAAACUUCUUCUUUACAUGUUCUUACUGCGUUCGAGAAUGAGGUAGAUCUCUUUACAUAUCGUGUAUCAUAGCUGCAGCGACAGGGGAGAGAGGAGGAAACAGUCUGACAAUCUGACCGUGUGCUACUGGGCUGAUUAACUGAAACACGGAGCUGCCUGUAGCCCUGCCCGUUGGAAACAGCAUGUGAACCAAACCACUUUGAGGAAUAGGCGGAACAUGAUUUUUCAACACUUAAAAAACACAUUUUUUACGUCUAUAAUUAGCACCGCUUGUGUCGUCGUAUUUUUAUUUAAAAAAAAAAAAUUCAAAAAAAUCUGAAUUUUUUUUUUUUCAAUGAUUGUUGGGGGGGACAACUUUAUGGUAGGGGGGGACACGUCCCCCCCGUCCCCCCUGGGAUCUCCGCCUAUGUAUGGUUGAGAGCUAUGUCCUCAGAAUGCCGUAAGAAUGAGGCGUUGUAGUCAGAGCCUGAAACUCAGGCUCGAGGCCAGGUCAAAUGCGUAUCCCCUCUUUUUGCUGUGUGUGCUCAGGUGUCAACCCUAAAACGACUGGGGCGAAAAGAUGUCUAUAUGUGUCCAUAAUUUACAGAAUUGCGUUCGUGCACGCAUGCGUAUGCAUGCAUGUGUGGUAUUUGAGGGGGAUCUCCAAGCUUUAACGCACAGUGUUAAUCAAUAGCUUAUCAGAAUACACCCCUUGACCCGUCAAUCACAUCGUCACGUUACCACUACAUAAGCCGGACUCAUCUCUGAUCAGUGUUGGUCAAAAGAAGUUGGAGCAGAAGAAUCAACAGCAGCAGUAGUUUGGUGGACCAUUUUCGGACCAGAUCAUUUGCACGUUCUUUCUUUCCGUGCGUCCAUGAGAGAAUCCACCUCAGUCUGUGAAGAUCUCUGUUACAGAUGCUGACACAGUGUAUGAGUGCAGUGCAGAUGCCAACACACCCACUCAGUACACAUGGACAAGAGAGGGUCAGCCCCUACCCAGUACUGGGGUGAGGGCAGAGGGCCACAGACUGGUGUUCCUGGAGUUCACUUCUGAGCUGAAUGGCCUGUACACCUGUGAGGUCACAACCCCCGAAGGGGCCCAAAGGGCCACAAUCACUCGCUAUGUAACGACCGUGUCAAAAGGAGGAAACAACAGAGAAGUUUGAAAGCUCUACUCCCAUACCACACCUGAGCUUUUUAAUCAAUGUGCUGAUGAAUCAUAUUUAUGAAUUAUAUCUACAAUUAUAUCUUUAUGUUCCUCCCACGGUUUUGGUUUAAAUAAAAACAUAUUUUUGCAACAAUUACUCUCGGCUCUC
Clupea harengus (Atlantic herring) is the source of this 1868-nucleotide long non-coding RNA. NCBI's taxonomy places the organism in Eukaryota, Metazoa, Chordata, Actinopteri, Clupeiformes, Clupeidae. The record is from Ensembl.